RNAcentral lists this non-coding RNA (29 nucleotides) under Mus musculus (house mouse). The record is from RNAcentral. Lineage: Eukaryota; Metazoa; Chordata; Mammalia; Rodentia; Muridae.
UGGGUGCAUAGUUAUUAUUAUUCAAUAGU